UGGGGAAUUUUGGACAAUGGGCGAAAGCCUGAUCCAGCAAUGCCGCGUGUGUGAAGAAGGCCUUCGGGUUGUAAAGCACUUUUGUCCGGAAAGAAAUGGCUCUGGUUAAUACCUGGGGUCGAUGACGGUACCGGAAGAAUAAGGACCGGCUAACUACGUGCCAGCAGCCGCGGUAAUACGUAGGGUCCAAGCGUUAAUCGGAAUUACUGGGCGUAAAGCGUGCGCAGGCGGUUGUGCAAGACCGAUGUGAAAUCCCCGAGCUUAACUUGGGAAUUGCAUUGGUGACUGCACGGCUAGAGUGUGUCAGAGGGGGGUAGAAUUCCACGUGUAGCAGUGAAAUGCGUAGAGAUGUGGAGGAAUACCGAUGGCGAAGGCAGCCCCCUGGGAUAACACUGACGCUCAUGCACGAAAGCGUGGGGAGCAAACAGGAUUAGAUACCCUGGUAGUCCACGCCCUAAACGAUGUCAACUAGUUGUUGGGGAUUCAUUUCCUUAGUAACGUAGCUAACGCGUGAAGUUGGACCGCCUGGGGAGUACGGUCGCAAG
Molecule: ribosomal RNA, 545 nt
Filed under: uncultured bacterium
Lineage: Bacteria
Description: partial 16S ribosomal RNA
Rfam family: Bacterial small subunit ribosomal RNA
Source: RNAcentral